GAGGUUAUAGUUCAAUUGGUUAGAAUACCCGUUUGUGGCACGGAAGGUUCUCUGUUCAAGUCAGGGUAUCCUCC
Molecule: transfer RNA, 74 nt
Filed under: Pyricularia grisea
Lineage: Eukaryota; Fungi; Ascomycota; Sordariomycetes; Magnaporthales; Pyriculariaceae
Also listed under: 4 other names
Description: tRNA-His
Source: RNAcentral